This 934-nucleotide long non-coding RNA is filed under the name Lactuca sativa (garden lettuce). RNAcentral's name for it is "long non-coding RNA (LSAT_LNC007119)". The record is from RNAcentral. Lineage: Eukaryota; Viridiplantae; Streptophyta; Magnoliopsida; Asterales; Asteraceae.
GAGACUGCAGCUCCUGAAGAUGGGAACUCCAGUGGCGGAUGGGGGGCGGCUGUGAAGACUACACCAACUGAUGGCUGGGGGGCGGCUGUGAAGAGUACACCAACUGAUAGCAGUGGCAGCUGGGGGGCGGCUGUGAAGACGACACCUACGACUGAAGGUAGCUGGGGGGCGGCUGUGAAGACUACACCUACGACUGAAGGUAGUUGGGGGGCGGCUGUGAAGGCCACACCAGCAACUGAAGGAUCUGGAUCGGGGUGGGGCAAAAAAGCGGAAGAACCUGCAUGGGGCGGGAAGAAACCGGAUUCAGACACUGGGGCAGGAUCAGGAUCAGUUCCAUGGGGUAAAAGAGAGGAAACUGCUUGGGGUAAGAAAGUUAACAGCGGGGAUUCAGCUGCUGCCUGGGGUAAAAAAGAUGACACUGGGGACUCAGCUCCAUGGAGCAAAAAAGCUGACACUGGGGGUUCAACUCCAGCUCCAUGGGGUAAAAAAGCCGACACUGCAGCUCCAGCUCCAUGGGGGAAAAAAGAUGACACCGGGGGCUCAGGCUCAGCUCCAUGGGGUAAAAAAGCCGACACUGGGGUUUCAACUCCAGCUCCAGCUCCAUGGGGCAAAAAAGAUGACACCGGAUCAGCUCCAUGGGGUAAAAAAGCUGACACUAGGGGUUCAGGUUCAGCUCCAUGGGGCAAAAAAGAUGACACUGGAUCAGUUCCAUGGGGUAAAAAAGAUGACACCGGAUCAGCUCCAUGGGGCAAAAAAGAUGACACCGGAUCAACUCCAUGGGGUAAAAAAGAUGACACUGGAUCUGCUCCCGCUCCAUGGGGAAGAAAGGAUGUUAAAGCUGACGAGCCCAGUCAAGUGGAAGAGUCUCAGUGGGGUAAAAUAGAGUCGUCUGGUUCCUGGGGCAAAUCAGUACAAAAACCUGAUUCCGUUCCGA